CAAACAAAACCCUAUCCCCUUUACUACACUGCCUCACCGCCACUCACCCACCGUCAUCCCCUUUCCUUCUUUUUCCUAAAUUUAUACACCAGAACAUAACACACACACGGUAGAGAGAGGAGAGAGCACGGAGAGGAGAUCCGAGAGAGGGAGGGUACCACGCCGCCACCAGUCAUCGUCGCGCCACCGUCGCCGCACGUCGCUGCCACUGUCAAGGUUGCUGUCGCCGCCGUCCUGUGUUGCAACCGCGUCGCCAUUAAAGAAGAGGAGAGCGAGGGACUCGCGAAGCAAACGCCGUCGAGCCGAGUCCAGAGGAGAGGGGUGCGAUUCGCAGGCGAGAUGGAAAGAGACAGUCACGAAGAGAGGAGCGCCGCCGUUGUUGUCGCGGUGUGUGGGCUUCGCGAAGAAAGAGGGACGAACGCGAAGGGGGAGUCUGGUUCACGCUGUCGUGCCUCCACCGCCGCCAGGUUCGUCGCCGUUGCCGUUCGUUCUAGCCGCCGCUGCUGUCGUUGGAGUUGCCGAGAAGGGGAGCCCGAUACGAGAGGAACAGUGCACAAGGAAGAGGGAGAGAGGUCCGAUGCUGAGCUGGUUCCUACCACCGCUGUUCUGCCACGCUGCUGCUAGGGCCAGCCACCAUCUCCGAGCUCGCCGCCAUCGCUCAGGUCACCGGAAUCAACUGUUGGAGCUGCGGCUGUGUUGUACUUAGUUCCUUUGGGUACAAUAUAGUGGAGCUGUGGUUGCAGCUGCCGCUGAGUGCGGGCUGAGAGAAAAUGGUUUCUUUGACGCGUUUGGUUUUACGAGUUUCAGCGAGCUGAGGUAUGGGCGAUUUCUUAAACUCAUUUUACUUUCAAGAAUUGUUAUAAGUCUAUAUUAAUAUGAAAAAUAUAUUUUUAUGAUUUCGUAAGUUUUAUGAAUUGAGUUGCCUUGAAUGAAUGUAAAUGCUAGUUUGAAUGGUUUAUUGAUUGAUUAAAGAUGUUUAGUCGGAUUUUGUACUUGGAUUAAGGCUAUUAUGAUGAUGAUUGGACUGUAGCUGUUUUUGAUUAUUGAGUUGCAAAGUUGGUUUGAUUAAAUACUAUGUAAAAUAAUUUUCUUGAUUUGGGGUUUAAUUUGACAUUAAAAAUGAAUUGGCGAAUGAAAUGAUUUGAGAUAUUGGAAUGUGUUUUGUUGAUUUAUCGGAAAUGAAUGAGAAUUUGAAAAUGAUUUGAAUGAUUGACUUGUGUUCGGUUUGGUUUGGUUUGGUUAGGACCCGAAAAGGGUGGCAAAGUUCGAAUUUUAUGGGAGGUGUUGCUGAAAUUUUUAUGAGAAUUUUUGGAAGUUUUAUUUUUGGUUAAUUGGGAUUUGAAGAAUUGUUUUAUUUGAACUUGAUUUGACUAAAGAAAAGAGUAUGGUUUGAGACAUUUGGUUGAAUAAAAAAAUGAUUAUUAAAUUGCUUUUCAACAGAAUGAAUUUGGUUUGGUUAAUGACAAAGAGGAUUAUGUUUUCGUGUAUUUGAUUGAACGAAAAUGAAUUAAUACGAAUUAGAGAAUCAUGAUUCAAGGAUUUUGAUGAAUUUAAAGAAAUGAGAUUGGUUGUCUCUCUCUUAAAGCUUAGAGGUUUUCCCGUGAAAUUUGAUUAAUUGAAUCUUGACUUAAGGUAAAUUAAUUUGAUUUAAUAUUUAAUCUUUUGGGUUGAAGUUGAUUUGAGACUUUCGUUUUGGUGAAAAUGAGUUUUAUAAAAGAGAAAUAGAUUUGAAUUGUGUUUAAAGAGUGAUUUUGAUAUUUGAAACACAUGGGCAGUACGCAAGGGUUGUGGUUUAGUCCGACUUGCUCAAGGUCAAGAUUUUUAAAAGAAUAUGGUUUUGAAUGUGAUUACUGACUGGCAAGGAUCAUGGUGGUGUACCGUUUGUCCAGUGUUGAGUAUAUUGAUUAAGAUGGAUUGUGGAUAUAACUUAUUGUAUAUGAUUUAUACGCCUGACAAGGAUCGUGGUGGUGUACCGCUUGUCUAGUGUCGCGAUGGACGUGGGGAUCGUGGUUGUUUACCGCUCACGGGUUGUGAAACUGUUUGUAGGGGUUGUGGUUAUUUACCGCCCACAGGUUUUUGUUUCUUUUUCAAUUGAGAACGUCUGUAGGGAUCGAGGUAGUUUAUCGCCCGCAGAUAGUGGGGAUCGUGGUACUGUACCGCUUACCAGUUUUAAAGAGGACGAUAUCCGAGUUAGCUACCGGAUGUGUCAGGUUCUGGCAAAGUAACCGACACGUGAACUCACGGCCAGUAGGACAGGCAUGAAUCAUGUUGCAUUGUGUGUUUUGUUUGGGUGUGCUUAAGUGUUUUGGUUUGCCUAUCUGAUGAAUUCUGUUCAAUUAGUAACUAUGAUACUUGCUGUAACUGUUCUUUAUAUGUGUUUGUCUUGAAUUUGUUUUUGUGAUUGAUUCUGUUUGGGAUUGAGUUUCGAUGGUGAAUUGUUUUGAAUUGGGCCGGAGGCCGAGGUGAUUUGAUUAGGGCCAGAGGCCGAGAUUUGAUUAUAUAUUUGGCCGGAGGCCAUGAUUGGUUGUGUUUGGGCUGGAGGCCAUGAAUGAUUGAAUUAGUGGUAAGUUUUGGUUAAAAUGUUAUUUUGCUUGAAAUUUUUGUAAGAAAAAUACGAAUCUUAGAUUUGAAUAAUAAACUGAUAAUCACUGCGUUUUGAAAAUUGUUUUAUUUAAAAUAUCUUCUUACGACAAUUCUUAAAAACCACUUACUGAUAAUCCUUUUGAGGACGUCUUUUCAGGACGGACGAGGAAGUUGAUGAAGUUUUUUUUUGAUAAGUCCUUAGCUGUACCGUUUCUGUUUGUACAUAUAUUCGUCAUAGUUUUUCCUCGCCUUUGUCAUUAUAAUUUUGUAAGAGGGAUAAGAGUUGUAUGAUAUGUAUGUAUCUAACAUUUGUAAGUUACUUGUAUAAGAAGUUUUGUAUAUAUGUAUAUGCAUAUUUGUUAUCAAAUAAAAAGAAUUUUCACUUUCUCAAAGAAA
Arachis ipaensis is the source of this 2979-nucleotide long non-coding RNA. RefSeq lists it as uncharacterized. The record is from RefSeq and is a predicted model, not a curated record. NCBI's taxonomy places the organism in Eukaryota, Viridiplantae, Streptophyta, Magnoliopsida, Fabales, Fabaceae.